CGGUUCUUCUGUGGAGAGAUCAUCUAAGGUGCCUCUCAUCUCAGUGUGGUCAGAGGUUCAGCUGAAGUCUACGUAUAGUUAACUAAAACUUUGCAAUGGCAUCCAGAUUCUUCAAGCAACUCCUCUUUGCCGUCCUGAUAGUUGGACAAGGAUCUUCUGUACUUGCAGAAAUAUGCACUGGUGAAAACGCAAAUGAAAUA
Molecule: long non-coding RNA, 200 nt
Filed under: Penaeus japonicus
Lineage: Eukaryota; Metazoa; Arthropoda; Malacostraca; Decapoda; Penaeidae
Description: uncharacterized LOC122266698
Source: RNAcentral